Parus major (Great Tit) is the source of this 2270-nucleotide long non-coding RNA. RefSeq lists it as uncharacterized. Lineage: Eukaryota; Metazoa; Chordata; Aves; Passeriformes; Paridae. The record is from RefSeq and is a predicted model, not a curated record. The transcript has 3 exons.
CCUUCUCGUCUCAGACAUUCAGUCUGAAGCCACAGGUGAAGAACCCAGCUCACUGGAAUAACUGCUUGAGUUGGGUGCUAACUUCUGCUGAGCAAACCUUACAGCAGGAUUUUGUUCCAGGUAAAGAUUUCCUUCCAUGAUAAAGAUAAGCCAAAGCAAAGAAGGAAGAAACUAAGCAGUUUUUGUACUGAGCUAUCAGGCUGCCUUUGCUUCAAGAACAGGACCAAAUAGUUUGUAGAACUGUAAGCAGAUGGAAAUAUACUUGGUCCAGGUUAAGGUGGUACAAACUAUCAAACAGCUCCUAAGACUGAAAUUUUUUGUACAACUCGAGUGGAUCAAACCUGUGAUCCUGACUUGGACUCUAGCAGAGACUCUGAGGGAAAUUGUCCCUGGAAGAAGGAUUUUGCCCCCUCCAGCCAAGCCAUUGGCAGAGACACUGGAAUGCAAAGCUCUUAAGGCUGUGUGACUGCACUGAAGUGCCUCCUCUGAGAGUCCUGGACAUGGCACAGUGCCUUUGGGUCCGCUUCCCCAGCAGCUCCUUGUGAGACAGGAUAUUUCCUCAGCAAUGUUUGUUGGUAUUUACACAGUGAGUUCAGACAGUGACUGGCCAUAGCUCCUAUCAAACCACAAUUGUUGAAGUGACACUUCAGAUCCUCUGUCUGAUACACUGCCAUUGAGAGAGACAGACAGAAUUCCCAUUAAGGCUUGCUUUAGGCAGGAUAUCCAAGGCUUCUGGCUGUAAAAAGAUGGAACAAGCCUGCACACUAAUACUACUCUGUCUAAUAUUUCCCAUUUGGACAUGAUCCCCAAAAUAUCAUAAGUGAAGAAGUGACAAUAAACAUGCUUUGCACAAUUUUAAGGAAAAGAGCUUUGGUCUGAUUCCAGAUAUCGUCAGCAGGAUGAACACAAAGGACAACAUUUAGUUAUAGAUUAAUAAUCCAAGUACAAAUAGUUCUGAACAAAUAGAAAAAACAUAAACCCACAAUAUUAAGCAAACCACAGGACAAAGAUCACUCAAUUCUCAGAGCUAUAUUAUUUUUAAGUGGGGAAACAAACUAUACAGAAGUCAUUGAACUCUGUGAUGUCAAUAUCAAGGUGAACCAGCCUGAAUGAAACGUGCCACAAAGAGUUAUGAAAUGUAAAAUCCAAGUAAAGCAUGUGGAGUUUACAUGAGCAGCAGUGAACUCACUGAACCAGAAAAUGGACAUUUUUUCCACAAAUUCUCAUACUUCUUUAAGCUGGAAAGUAUAGUGCAAAGUUAUACAUCAAAUAAUCCAGAAAAAUCUCACAAGAAAACAAAUUAUCUAUUACAUUCUUAUGUUACUGUAAUAUGUUAAUGCCACUAGAAUCAACUUGAAUUAUCUAAUCCUCUGCUUGCAAGACUUUACCUAAAAUAAGUAAUUAAUUGUUCAAUUUUCUAUCAGUAGAUGAAGAAAGCAAGAGACAGAAAUAUUUUCCCUGCCAGGAAAACAGCAACACUUUUCUCUGGAGAGACACAUUUUGAGCUAUUGCAUAAACUCCCACUCACACAGUCUGGUUUUGCAUUGUGUUUUUCAGCUGGUCAUCCUGUAGCUCAUGCAUCAUUACCACUGAAGAAUUAUUAUAAGUUAAAUGCAGUACAGGCCAGAACUAUCAUGUAAAACCUGCUCAUUCACUCUUCAUUAGAAAACUAGAGAUAAAAAUGAGUUGAGAGUUGAAUUUUGCCAUGAAUUUUUCAUUAAUACUUGGACAACAAUUCUGCUAUAUCACUGUUCUAGAGCACAAACAAUUUUCUGUCAUUCAGUGAUAACAGCAGAAUGGUCAUCUGUCUAUCAUUGUAAUAAAACCAUUUUGUCAGAAAAGGUUGUUGGAUACAAUGAAUUCUAGGCUAUCAAAUUAACCAUUAUCUAUCCACCCCAGACAACCUUCAGACUGUGUUUCUCCUCUAAAAAUUAAAAGAUACAACAUUGUAGAUCUCAGGUCACUGGCACAUGAAAACUUUCCCAUUAUAUCAGGUUUUUUUAUAAAUAAUACUCUCUGAAAAUUUACAUAUUCACACUCCAAUAUGGAUCUUUACAAAAUAAUCCUUGUUGUGUGAGCAGAAAAAUCCCAAUGCAUUAAGACAGGUAAACUUAUAACAUAGAGACAAAUAAUUUUGUGCUCUGGAUUUAAAUAGAGAUAUAUUCCUUAGUGUUGCAGCUUUCUUCAGAUCUUUCCUAAGAUCUGUUACCUAGUUGUAUUUUAUGUAGGUGAAGUGUCACAGCAAUGGCUAUACCCCUAGUGAAAAAUAA